Vigna angularis (adzuki bean) is the source of this 699-nucleotide long non-coding RNA. RefSeq lists it as uncharacterized. The transcript has 4 exons. The record is from RefSeq and is a predicted model, not a curated record. NCBI's taxonomy places the organism in Eukaryota, Viridiplantae, Streptophyta, Magnoliopsida, Fabales, Fabaceae.
GAUAUUGUUGCAAUGAUAGAAGUUGGUCAACAGAGUCAAGUUUGUCAUGACAAGAAGAAGUUUGAUGCCAAACAGAAAUUGGAAAUGGAAGGAAGCUAAAAGGGAAAUUGCAAGUUAUGAAGCAUGUUGGAGAUGAAGGUGAUACAGCGGUUCAGAAAAAGAUAAAAGAAAUGAACGAUGAAUUGCAAGAAAAAAUAGAGAAUUUGGAAUCUGUGGAGAGCAUGAAUCAAACCCUCAUUAUGAAGGAACGUCAAAGUAAUGAUGAACUGUAGGAAGCUCGCAAAGAAUUAUUAAAAGGGUUAGAGGAUAUGCUUAAUGGUCCUUAAGGUAAUAUUGGGCUCAAGAGAAUGGGAGAGCUAGAUCAGAAGGUUUUUGUGACUAAAUGCAAGGAAAGAUUUUCUCUUCAAGAAGCUGGGACCAAAGGUGUCGAGCUUUGCUCUUUGUGGCAGGAAAACGUGAAGAAAAUUCUGCUUGGCAUCCAUUUAAAGUGAUCACAAAUGAUGAUAAAGCAGAGACGAUCAUAAUGCCACGGGGGUUGUCAAUAUGGCCGGACGGCUCUAGAAUUAUCCUCGCUCUGAUCAGACGGUCAAGAGCGAACGACCAGAAAAAUUAUGUAGUUAUCUACGCGAAUAUUAAGGUAAGCAGUGAUUUAAGUUAUUGGGCCAAAAUUGGGCCAUGAUUAACGUCUCACUAAUCUCA